This 253-nucleotide ribosomal RNA is filed under the name uncultured bacterium. Its description in RNAcentral is "partial 16S ribosomal RNA". It matches the Rfam family "Bacterial small subunit ribosomal RNA", at positions 524 to 776 of the family's 1533-position model. The record is from RNAcentral.
UACGAAGGGGGCUAGCGUUGUUCGGAUUUACUGGGCGUAAAGCGCAUGUAGGCGGGUCGUUAAGUUGGGGGUGAAAUCCCGAGGCUCAACCUCGGAAUUGCCUUCAAAACUGGCGGCCUGGAGCAAGAUAGAGGCAAGUGGAAUUGCGAGUGUAGAGGUGAAAUUCGUAGAUAUUUGCAGGAACACCAGUGGCGAAGGCGACUUGCUGGAUCUUUGCUGACGCUGAGAUGCGAAAGCGUGGGGAGCAAACAGG